This 253-nucleotide ribosomal RNA is filed under the name uncultured bacterium. RNAcentral's name for it is "partial 16S ribosomal RNA". It matches the Rfam family "Bacterial small subunit ribosomal RNA", at positions 524 to 776 of the family's 1533-position model. The record is from RNAcentral.
UACAGAGGGUGCAAGCGUUAAUCGGAUUUACUGGGCGUAAAGGGCGCGUAGGUGGUAGCGUAAGUGAGAUGUGAAAUCCCCGGGCUUAACCUGGGACGUGCAUCUUAGACUGCGUAACUUGAGUGUAGUAGAGGGUAGUGGAAUUUCCGGUGUAGCGGUGAAAUGCGUAGAUAUCGGAAGGAACACCAGUGGCGAAGGCGGCUACCUGGACUAACACUGACACUGAGGCGCGAGAGCGUGGGGAGCAAACAGG